RNAcentral lists this unclassified non-coding RNA (377 nucleotides) under uncultured Alphaproteobacteria bacterium. RNAcentral's name for it is "contains 16S-23S intergenic spacer region". Lineage: Bacteria; Pseudomonadati; Pseudomonadota; Alphaproteobacteria. The record is from RNAcentral.
UCCGGCUUGUCACCGGCAGUUCCUCUAGAGUGCCCACCCAAACGUGCUGGCAACUAAAGGCGAGGGUUGCGCUCGUUGCGGGACUUAACCCAACAUCUCACGACACGAGCUGACGACAGCCAUGCAGCACCUGUGCAUCACGCCCCUUGCGGGGAAGGUCCAUCUCUGAACCAGUCGUGACCAUGUCAAGGGCUGGUAAGGUUCUUCGCGUUGCGUCGAAUUAAACCACAUGCUCCGCUGCUUGUGCGGGCCCCCGUCAAUUCCUUUGAGUUUCAACCUUGCGGCCGUAGUCCCCAGGCGGAUCACUUAAUGCGUUAGCUGCGGCACCGAGGGAAACCCCCCGACACCUAGUGAUCAUAGUUUAGGGCCAAGACUAC